ACCUCAAUUGUGGGGCUUACUGCUGAUGUUAGACUGUUAUGUAAUCUUCUGCGUCAGGAGUGUUUGGAUUCCAGAUUUGUAUUCGAUAGACCACUGCCUGUGUCUCGUCUUGUAUCUCUAAUUGGAAGCAAGACGCAGAUACAAACACAACGAUAUGGCCGGAGACCAUAUGGUGUUGGGCUGCUUAUUGCCGGUUAUGAUGAUAUGGGCCCUCACAUUUUCCAAACCUGUCCAUCUGCUAACUAUUUUGACUGCAGAGCCAUGUCCAUUGGAGCCCGUUCCCAAUCAGCUCCUACUUACUUGGAGAGAUAUAUGUCUGAAUUUAUGGAGUGCAAUUUAAAUGAACUAGUUAAACAUGGUCUGUGUGCCUUAAGAGCGACACUUCCUGCAGAAUAGGACCUAAACUACAAAGAAUGUUUCCAUUGGAAUUAUUGGUAAAGACUUGGAGUUUACAAUCUAUGAUGAUGAUGAUGUGUCUCCAUUCCUCGAAGGUCUUGAAGAAAGGCCACAGAGAAAGGCACAGCCUGCUCAACCUGCUGAUGAACCUGCAGAAAAGACUGAUGAACCAAUGGAACAUUAAGUGAUAAGCCAGUCUAUAUAUGUAUUAUCAAAUAUGUAAGAAUACAGGCACCACAUACUGAUGACAAUAAUCUAUACUUUGAACCAAAAGUUCAGAGUGCUGGAAUGCUAUGUUUUAGGAAUGAGUCCAGAUGUGAGUUUUUUCCAAGCAACCUCACUGAAACCUAUAUAAUGGAAUACAUUUUUCUUUGAGAGGGUCUGUAUAAUCAUUUUCUAGAAAGUAUGGGUAUCUAUACUAAUGUUUUUAUAUGAAGAAAAUAGGUGUCUUUGUGGUUUUAAAGACAACUGUGAAAUAAAAUUGUUUCACUGCCUGGU
This is an RNA transcript of Cercocebus atys (sooty mangabey), 894 nucleotides long. It is a transcript of the gene named proteasome subunit alpha type-1 pseudogene, with no coding region annotated. The transcript has 2 exons. Lineage: Eukaryota; Metazoa; Chordata; Mammalia; Primates; Cercopithecidae. The record is from RefSeq and is a predicted model, not a curated record.